GCCCGUGUGGCGGAAUCGGUAGACGCAGCGGACUUAAAAUCCGUGGGUUUUGCGACCUUGGGAGUUCAAGUCUCCUCAUGGGCACCA
Molecule: transfer RNA, 87 nt
Filed under: Wolbachia sp.
Lineage: Bacteria; Pseudomonadati; Pseudomonadota; Alphaproteobacteria; Rickettsiales; Anaplasmataceae
Also listed under: 1 other name
Description: tRNA-Leu
Rfam family: tRNA
About the family: Transfer RNA (tRNA) molecules are approximately 80 nucleotides in length. Their secondary structure includes four short double-helical elements and three loops (D, anti-codon, and T loops). Further hydrogen bonds mediate the characteristic L-shaped molecular structure. tRNAs have two regions of fundamental functional importance: the anti-codon, which is responsible for specific mRNA codon recognition, and the 3' end, to which the tRNAs corresponding amino acid is attached (by aminoacyl-tRNA synthetases). tRNAs cope with the degeneracy of the genetic code in two manners: having more than one tRNA (with a specific anti-codon) for a particular amino acid; and 'wobble' base-pairing, i.e. permitting non-standard base-pairing at the 3rd anti-codon position.
Source: RNAcentral